CACUAUCAUUUGUACGUUAGCGACAGAAGAAGACACCGGCUAACUCCGUGCCAGCAGCCGCGGUAAUACGGAGGGUGCGAGCGUUAAUACGGAAUUACGUGGGACGUAAAGACGCAUGCAGGUGGUUUGUUUAAGUCAGAUGUAGAAGGACCCGGGCGUCAACCUACGGAAUAGCAUUUAUAAACGUAGGCAGACUAGAGUACUGUAGGAGGGGGGUAGGAAUUUCAGGUGUAGCGGUGAAAUGCGUAGAGAUCUGAAGGAAUACCGGUGGCGAAGGCGGCCCCCUCGGACAGAUACUGACACUCAGAUGCGAAAGCGUGGGGAGCAAACAGGAUUAGAUACCCUGGUAG
This 350-nucleotide ribosomal RNA is filed under the name uncultured bacterium. RNAcentral's name for it is "bacterial SSU rRNA". It matches the Rfam family "Bacterial small subunit ribosomal RNA", at positions 459 to 793 of the family's 1533-position model. The record is from RNAcentral.